RNAcentral lists this long non-coding RNA (466 nucleotides) under Phoenix dactylifera (date palm). RNAcentral describes it as "long non-coding RNA (PDAC_LNC022608)". The record is from RNAcentral. Lineage: Eukaryota; Viridiplantae; Streptophyta; Magnoliopsida; Arecales; Arecaceae.
GGUCCGGUCCUAGUCCGGUACCGGAACCACAAGAAAAUCGGUAUUUCUCGGUUUUUUAGCCGAACCGGCCGGUACGGAGCCCGUACCGGUCGGUACCGGUCGAUACCGCUUAGUACUGGCCACCGGUACGAUUUUUUUUUUUUAAGAACCACAGCGCCUUGCGCUGUGGUUUUUGAAACCACCGCGUACCGGCCGGUACAUACCGGACCGGAUCGGUACCGUACCGGUCCGGCCGGCCACCGGUACGCCGACCAGUACCGGUACGGCGGACCUUGGUCCCGCCUCAUCCCAAUGGCAGUCUCGGUUGAGAAUACCAUAGGUAUCUUCCAUCUCACUCCAUCUUCUUUUCUUUCCGUUCUUUUCUUUUUCUUUCUUUCUUUCUUUUUCUUCCUUCUUUCUUUUUCUUAUCCCUUCUUUCUUUCCUUUUUCUUCUUCUUCUCUCUUUCCAUUCUUUCUUCUUUCCUUC